This 492-nucleotide ribosomal RNA is filed under the name uncultured bacterium. Its description in RNAcentral is "partial 16S ribosomal RNA". It matches the Rfam family "Bacterial small subunit ribosomal RNA", at positions 29 to 507 of the family's 1533-position model. The record is from RNAcentral.
AGUGAACGCUGGCGGUAGGCCCAACACGUGCAAGUCGAACGGUAGCACAGUAAGAGCUUGCCCUUACGGGUGGCGAGUGGCGGACGGGUGAGGAAUACAUCGGAAUCUACUUUUUCGUGGGGGAUAACGUAGGGAAACUUACGCUAAUACCGCAUACGACCUACGGGUGAAAGCAGGGGAUCUUCGGACCUUGCGCGAUUGAAUGAGCCGAUGUCGGAUUAGCUAGUUGGCGGGGUAAAGGCCCACCAAGGCGACGAUCCGUAGCUGGUCUGAGAGGAUGAUAAGCCACACUGGAACUGAGACACGGUCCAGACUCCGACGGGAGGCAGCAGUGGGGAAUAUUGGACAAUGGGCGCAAGACUGAUCCAGCCAUACCGCGUGGGUGAAGAAGGCCUUCGGGUUGUAAAGCCCUUUGGUUGGGAAAGAAAAGCAGCAGGUUAAUACCCCGCUGUUCUGACGGUACCCAAAGAAUAAGCACCGGCUAACUUCGUG